Molecule: ribosomal RNA, 911 nt
Filed under: uncultured Nitrososphaerota archaeon
Lineage: Archaea; Thermoproteati; Nitrososphaerota
Description: bacterial SSU rRNA
Rfam family: Archaeal small subunit ribosomal RNA
Source: RNAcentral
UUCCGGUUGAUCCCGCCGGACCUGACUGCUAUCGGAUUGAUACUAAGCCAUGCGAGUCAUUGUAGCAAUACAAGGCAUACGGCUCAGUAACGCGUAGUCAACCUACCCUAUGGACGGAAAUAACCUCGGGAAACUGAGAAUAAUAUCCGAUAGAACAUUAUGCCUGGAAUGGUUUAUGUUCCAAAUGAUUUAUCGCCGUAGGAUGGGACUGCGGCCUAUCAGUUUGUUGGUGAGGUAAUGGCCCACCAAGACUAUUACAGGUACGGGCUCUGAGAGGAGUAGCCCGGAGAUGGGUACUGAGACACGGACCCAGGCCCUAUGGGGCGCAGCAGGCGAGAAAACUUUGCAAUGUGCGAAAGCACGACAAGGUUAAUCCGAGUGAUUUCUGCUAAAGAAAUCUUUUGUUAGUCUAGAACACUAACGAAUAAGGGGUGGGCAAGUUCUGGUGUCAGCCGCCGCGGUAAAACCAGCACCUCAAGUGGUCAGGAUGAUUAUUGGGCCUAAAGCAUCCGUAGCCGGCUCUGUAAGUCCUCGGUUAAAUCUGUACGCUUAACGUACAGGCUGCCGGGAAUACUGCAUAGCUAGGGAGUGGGAGAGGUAGACGGUACUCGGUAGGAAGGGGUAAAAUCCUUUGAUCUAUUGAUGACCACCUGUGGCGAAGGCGGUCUACCAGAACACGUCCGACGGUGAGGGAUGAAAGCUGGGGGAGCAAACCGGAUUAGAUACCCGGGUAGUCCCAGCUGUAAACUAUGCAAACUCAGUGAUGCAUUGGCUUGUGGCCAAUGCAGUGCUGCAGGGAAGCCGUUAAGUUUGCCGCCUGGGAAGUACGUACGCAAGUAUGAAACUUAAAGGAAUUGGCGGGGGAGCACCACAAGGGGUGAAGCCUGCGGUUCAAUUGGAGUCAACGCCGG